AACGAACGCUGGCGGCAGGCUUAACACAUGCAAGUCGAGCGCAUCCUUCGGGGUGAGCGGCAGACGGGUGAGUAACGCGUGGGAACGUACCCUUUGCUACGGAAUAGCUCCGGGAAACUGGAAUUAAUACCGUAUGUGCCCUUCGGGGGAAAGAUUUAUCGGCAAAGGAUCGGCCCGCGUUGGAUAGCUAGUUGGUGGGGUAAAGGCCUACCAAGGCGACGAUCCAUAGCUGGUCUGAGAGGAUGAUCAGCCACAUUGGGACUGAGACACGGCCCAAACUCCUACGGGAGGCAGCAGUGGGGAAUAUUGGACAAUGGGCGCAAGCCUGAUCCAGCCAUGCCGCGUGAGUGAUGAAGGCCUUAGGGUUGUAAAGCUCUUUCAACGGUGAAGAUAAUGACGGUAACCGUAGAAGAAGCCCCGGCUAACUUCGCGCCAGCCGCCGCCGUAA
This 448-nucleotide ribosomal RNA is filed under the name uncultured bacterium. RNAcentral describes it as "partial 16S ribosomal RNA". It matches the Rfam family "Bacterial small subunit ribosomal RNA", at positions 29 to 523 of the family's 1533-position model. The record is from RNAcentral.